RNAcentral lists this long non-coding RNA (354 nucleotides) under Panax ginseng (ginseng). RNAcentral's name for it is "long non-coding RNA (PGIN_LNC003045)". The record is from RNAcentral. Lineage: Eukaryota; Viridiplantae; Streptophyta; Magnoliopsida; Apiales; Araliaceae.
GACGAGGUUCACGAAGCACAUGCUUGUCUUCUUCAGGAUAUUUGAUUUAGAUAUUAAUUUGGUAGUCAAUAAAAAGGGUAUUACCUUCUUCCAUGUCCCUUGAUUAGUAAGAAAAUAACACAACAUUGUUGUUUUUGUGUAUUGAUUUUGGCACUAAGUGCCUCUGGUGACCUAUUUGUUUCAUUUUCCUGACUUGCUAUUAUUUUUAAAUAUGUGCAGGAAGACUGCUUCUACGACCUGCCUUACAAUAUUGGGUAUCAAAUUUUUGUGCUACGUUUACGGAAGACAAGUGACGAAAUUAUGAAGUGUACUCUCUCUAUAUAUGUAGAUAUAUACUUUGAUUGAAGAACUGUG